This 216-nucleotide ribosomal RNA is filed under the name uncultured fungus. RNAcentral describes it as "partial small subunit ribosomal RNA". The stretch from base 103 to 216 matches the Rfam family "Eukaryotic small subunit ribosomal RNA", at positions 748 to 864 of the family's 1831-position model. The record is from RNAcentral. Lineage: Eukaryota; Fungi.
GGUUGUGAAAGGCGGUCAGCCCCAAGGGGUUUGUACCAGCAGUUCGUAGCCAUCUUCGGAGAAUGCGUGUCUGUCAUUCAGUUGAUGGGCACGAGGACUCUGUCAUUUACUGUGAGCAAAAUAGAGUGUUCAAAGCAGGCAUUAUGCCAUUGAAUACAUUAGCAUGGAAUAAUAAGAUAAGACCUUGGUCUAUUUUGUUGGUUUGACUCCAAGGUA